GACAGAGGGUGCGAACGUUGUUCGGAAUUACUGGGCGUAAAGCGCAUGUAGGCGGCAGCGCAAGUCGGGCGUGAAAUCCCACGGCUCAACCGUGGAAGUGCACUCGAAACUGCGCAGCUAGAGUCCUGGAGAGGAAGGUGGAAUGCUUGGUGUAGAGGUGAAAUUCGUAGAUAUCAAGCGGAACACCGGUGGCGAAGGCGGAUCUCUGGGCCGAUACUGACGCUGAGGAGCGAAAGCGUGGGGAGCGAACAGG
This 253-nucleotide ribosomal RNA is filed under the name uncultured bacterium. RNAcentral's name for it is "partial 16S ribosomal RNA". It matches the Rfam family "Bacterial small subunit ribosomal RNA", at positions 524 to 776 of the family's 1533-position model. The record is from RNAcentral.